GGAGGAUCCACAUGUCCCUAUUUAAUCACUUGACUCUUAGACUAAAAUUCUCAGUGGUGAUUAUCUCUAACUCUUUAAUAUGUGCAAUUAAAACGUGGUGGGUGGGAAGAGAAAUGAUCUCAACUAUAUUUGACCUGCAUAAAUCUUAGAUCUGGGCAGGAUUUUCACUUUCAGAGACAUGGAUACAUUUCCGCACAGAUCUAAGGUUGAGAUUGACUGACUUGGAUACAAGUAACAUUUCUUGCAUGGUAAAAAUAUUGCCAAAGCAUUGAUCAUGUUAAAUAAGUGCACACACACACACACACACAAGUUUGAUAAAAUACAAAUGAGAGGAUUUGCUUUAUUUAAAUUCUGUUUUGUUAUUUUAAGAAACUGUAUGUAGUUUUUGGUAUUUUCACAACUUUGGAGCUGAAUUUCAUUCCUGUUCACCAAACUUACAUCCUCCCAGAACAGAUGUUUAGGGGACACGUGGGAAAAAACUAGAAGCCAUUUGCCUUAUUAGAAGUCAGUGUACCGUCAGAUUGCUUUAAACUUUACUUAAAUGUUUUUCAGUGUUGACGAUAUCGUGUGCUGUGACUCUCUCUCUGUCUCCUUCUCAUGGUAGCUCAACGCAAUCUAGAGCAGUGGGGAGGCCAUACAUCCUGAGGCAGAGCUUCUGCGCUCGCUACACUUUGGCGCCCCCUAUCCAGAGAUGAGAAUACUGCAGGCUCUCUUUAAUGCAGCACCCUUCUACACACUGGUUCAGUCAGACACCCCAGACAUUGUGUUAUCUGAUGCGGUCCGGUCAGAUGAAGACCCCACCCUCCUCCUGAUUUCAGUCUAUCCAGCCUCACAUUUCCUGGAUCACGUACCAUCUACAGCUAUUAUUACUCUGUCCACAGACCUCUCUCCACUAAAGCACUUUGUGUUGGUGACAGCCUGGAUUCAGGUUAGAGAGCAAGAGACACUCUUUUCACAAUGUUCUACAUGCACACUAAUGUUCAACAGUUUGGGGUCAGUAUGA
Molecule: long non-coding RNA, 1003 nt
Filed under: Carassius auratus (goldfish)
Lineage: Eukaryota; Metazoa; Chordata; Actinopteri; Cypriniformes; Cyprinidae
Description: lncRNA (ENSCARG00000019282.1)
Source: RNAcentral